UGGGGAAUAUUGCGCAAUGGGCGAAAGCCUGACGCAGCAACGCCGCGUGAGUGAUGAAGGCCUUCGGGUUGUAAAGCUCUUUCGGCUGGGAAGAAGGGUGUGCAUGUGAACAAUGUGUACAUUUGAUGGUACCAGAAGAAGAAGCACCGGCUAACUUCGUGCCAGCAGCCGCGGUAAUACGAAGGGUGCAAGCGUUGUUCGGAUUUACUGGGCGUAAAGGGUUCGUAGGCGGGAGUUUAAGUUGUGUGUGAAAUCCCUGGGCUUAACCCAGGACGUGCACACAAAACUGGAUUUCUUGAGUGUUGGAGAGGGUUGUGGAAUUGCUGGUGUAGGAGUGACAUCCGUAGAGAUCAGCAGGAACACCGGAGGCGAAGGCGACAACCUGGCCAAACACUGACGC
RNAcentral lists this ribosomal RNA (400 nucleotides) under uncultured bacterium. Its description in RNAcentral is "bacterial SSU rRNA". It matches the Rfam family "Bacterial small subunit ribosomal RNA", at positions 355 to 746 of the family's 1533-position model. The record is from RNAcentral.